RNAcentral lists this ribosomal RNA (497 nucleotides) under uncultured bacterium. Its description in RNAcentral is "partial 16S ribosomal RNA". It matches the Rfam family "Bacterial small subunit ribosomal RNA", at positions 28 to 507 of the family's 1533-position model. The record is from RNAcentral.
GAUGAACGCUGGCGGCGUGCCUAAUACAUGCAAGUCGAGCGAACAGACGAGGAGCUUGCUCCUCUGACGUUAGCGGCGGACGGGUGAGUAACACGUGGAUAACCUACCUAUAAGACUGGGAUAACUUCGGGAAACCGGAGCUAAUACCGGAUAAUAUAUUGAACCGCAUGGUUCAAUAGUGAAAGACGGUUUUGCUGUCACUUAUAGAUGGAUCCGCGCCGCAUUAGCUAGUUGGUAAGGUAACGGCUUACCAAGGCAACGAUGCGUAGCCGACCUGAGAGGGUGAUCGGCCACACUGGAGCUGAGACACGGUCCAGACUCCUACGGGAGGCAGCAGUAGGGAAUCUUCCGCAAUGGGCGAAAGCCUGACGGAGCAACGCCGCGUGAGUGAUGAAGGUCUUCGGAUCGUAAAGCUCUGUUAUUAGGGAAGAACAAAUGUGUAAGUAGCUAUGCACGUCUUGACGGUACCUAAUCAGAAAGCCACGGCUAACUACGUG